Molecule: non-coding RNA, 2997 nt
Organism: Meleagris gallopavo (turkey)
Lineage: Eukaryota; Metazoa; Chordata; Aves; Galliformes; Phasianidae
Source: RefSeq, a predicted model, not a curated record
CUAACAGCGGCAUAGAGGAGAGGGUUAAACACACGCAUAGAGGAGGCCCUCCCGCUGAGUCGCGAGGCUCAGAAGGUGCUCAGUUGUGCCCCAGCUGUUGAAGCAGGGCUCUGCUAUCAGUUCUUUCAGUCCCCAUUUUGAGACAGAUUUAUGGCGGUUAAUCUGUUACCUGUUGUCUUGUGCGUUGUGUUCCUGUGCAGGGCCUUGUGAGCAAGGCCAGGCUGAAGAAGGGAGCUGAGGGAAGAAGCUGGAGGUGGGGUAAGAGGGGGUGGAGGGAUGAGCAGGAUGUGUCUCUCCCCAUCCACACUACAGUCACUCACGUUUUCAUCAGCCAUAGCAGGUGGGGAAGGCAGUCACACUGGUGCUAUCCCAGUGACAUUCACUUCCAUUUGUAUAUUUAAGUGUGCUUCAUUUCCGUGCUUGACCACGGAUGAGAGACCUGAGUUUUUGUUGUUAGAAUUUGUGGCAAGUGAUGCCUCACUGGAGGCAUUAGAACAGGCAGUAGACUCAUUGACUGCUCACCUAGAAGAAAAAUGGUGGGCUGUGAAUCCACAAAGGUGCAAGGAACAGGUUUGUUGGUAAAAUUCCUGGGUGUAAUUUGGUCAGUGCAAUAACAGACGAAAUUCAGGCGUUCCCAGUCCUUACCGGGCCAUGGCAGCUGCAGGAAUUUUGGAGUAUAUUGAGAUUCUUUCGUUCCUUUAUACCCUGCCUAGCACAGCUCCUGCAGCCUUUGUUUCUGCUCAGAAAGAAAGGCCAGGAAUGGGAGUGGGGUAGAACGGAAGAAGAGGCAUUCCAGCAAGCAAAACCAGCUGUUAUACAGGCCAAGGCACUUGUUAUAUUUGGUCCCACCCUUCCUGCUGAACCAGACACAUGCAACUCAAAAUGGGUUUGGCUAGCAUCUAUGGCUGUGCCAAAAUUCCGCUUGAACCCCAGUUGGGUUCUGGUCUGAAGUUUGGCACUUAGCAGGAGAAAGGUACAGUGUGAUUGAAAAACAGUUAUUGGCUGCUUAUUCUGCAUGACAGGUGGUAGAGCCAAUAACUCAAACAUCUCGAGUCAUAGUUAAGACCACCCUGUCUUUCUGUCAUUACAGGCAUCAUGUGCUGGCCACGUGGGCACAGCGUUCAAGUAGAAAGAACCCUGCAGACGCUAUCAGAAGUGUUGAGGGAGAGAGAAGUGCCCUUUGAAGCAUUUGACACCCUGCUGGCAGUGCCUAUCGCAUCCAACACCAGCAUGGUCCUUCUUUCUCCUUUUCAGCGGUUUGGCCUCUCCCAGCAGUUGUUAAGUAAUAAUGUACUAGCUGAGGGAGUUUCUGCUUCUCGCUUACUGGGACUAUCUGCAGUGGAUGCCCGUGUGUGUGUGAGGGUAUUGCAAUCCUGGAAGCGAUGUUCGGGUUACCCUGGCUAAUUCAACCGGACCAGAUAUGCUGUGUACUGCAACCCUGUCAAACCCAAUUCCUGACCUGCCUGGUUGGAGUACCACUGACUGAAAAUGACUCUCGCGUACUCCAGAACAGCUUGAAUGGCAAGAACAGAUGGCUUUCCUGCCAUGCACUGGGGAGACUCCAGUUCUUGCUCCUGAGGAUCUCUGGAUCCUGGUGACACUAUACACUGACUAGUUACCAACUUGAUGCCUAACAUAAGCUGUUGGCACACCGCCAGCUGCCCAAGAGGUGGAGCCCCAACUACAGCUGCCUACUCAACAAAAUUGAGUUAUUUGAAUGACUCAUGUGGUGUAAUCAUGCUGCAACUCAUGUAUCAAUGGGCUGUAACACCCCAAUGUCCCCGCCAAAGGGCAGAUGUUUUAUCUGUGGGAACCAGGUUUGGGCAGUCGUACCUGCUGGGGCCCUGGGAGGGCCGUGUACCAGUGAAUGACUCAUUGUCUUUAUACCCAAAAUCACCAUGGUGAUUACACGGCAGUGGAAAAAAACACAGACUCAGUGACCCACGUAGGAAUUUCACUCUUUCUUGCUGGUAAGUUUGAGCUUACAGCUGCACCUGCUGCCCAAACCAUUGCCAUGGCUGCCUUGGCGCUUCAGGCUCGGGUGUGGCUGCAGCAUUAACACAAUUGAAUAGGUUAGCUUGCUGGUUUAGUAAAUUUAGCAGUGCUGCUUCAUUUGCUAUUUGGAAACUCUCGUAGAUGUAGACAGUGUUAAGACCACCUCACUUCAGAAUGGUGCAGCUGUUGAUUUCCCACUGCUCACCCAUGGCCAUGGAUGCCAGGACUUUGAUGGGCUCUGCUGCAUGAAACUUUUGGACCAUUCCUAAUCCACCCAAAGCCACCUAGAUGAAUUAAGGGAUCUUGCUGAUCAGCUGCAGGAGUCCUUGGGAUGGAAUCCUUUUUCAGCCUGGGACUGGGGAUGAGGACUGCAGAAAAAGAUAAUACAGAUAGACUGUAUUUGGACCUGUAUUUCCUCACUCUUCUGUGCAAUAUUUCAGGCUUCUUACAACUUGUACAACAAGCUAUGCAAAGUGCUUUUUGUGGACUUGUAGUAAAAGUAGUGCAGUAACACUGUGUUCCAAACCAGAAACAUGCAGUGGCAUGUGUCGGGGAUCUGAAGGUUCUGACCAAAGAAUGCUCCUGAGUUGGAACAAAGGAUUCUGGGAAAGUGAUUACAGCUGACUUAGCUUGUUUUGCAAGAAGCUGACCUUGUUUUGCAGGAAGUUGCUCUGCUGUGCCUCUGUAUCUUACGCUGGCCACGCAGCUGCAGUGUGCGAGUAACAAAACCCUGCAGACACUGGGAGAGAAUAAAAACAGGAGGGAGGUUGUGGUCGAUCCCGAGAGGACAAGUGCACCUUGAAACGGGGAUGCACCAUGGGCCAUACCUAGUGAAACCACCACGGGCAUGUUCCAUCUCAUCCUCCUGCUCAGCACUUUGUCCAUCUCUAGAAGGUCGGUUAAGUCAUAUUUACUUGCUUGGGGAACUUCUGCUUGCUGCACAUAGAGUUAUCUAAGUGUAUGAAAGUGUGCGUGUGUCAAAUAAAACUCAUGAUUCUCAGA